Molecule: non-coding RNA, 650 nt
Organism: Rattus norvegicus (Norway rat)
Lineage: Eukaryota; Metazoa; Chordata; Mammalia; Rodentia; Muridae
Source: RefSeq, a predicted model, not a curated record
GCAAGGAGAGGCUGGAAAGCUGAUGCUGCAUUUUCUGGCUUGGUUAAGAAGCCCGGAGUCUCCUUGCACAGAGUUCACAGCAUCAUAAUUCCUUGGAAUUUGUGACUCUCAGGGACCUCUGAAGGGUACAGCAUCUAGGAGGAUACAGUUCUACAUGAUCAGGGACCUGCAUCUACUGAACUGAGAAGGAUGGGAGCCACUAAACAAGAGUUUCUGAUUUUCAAAGACUCAGGUGUGAAGAGCUACUUAAUAUGCUGUUCUGCAACCAUUCCCUGCCCAGCCAGCAAGCUGCAAGGCAAAGCAGACAAAAGCCUGUGUUUCAGAACCAAGUAAAAGAAAGUGUGUCAAGCUUGGAGGCUGGAAGGAAAAUCAGGGAAAAGGUCCUGACAAGGUCACUUGAAAGCAAGCAUAUCAAGAUUUAUGUGGAGCCAGAAUUAUUCGGGAAAAAAAAUUAAAACAUCAACUAUCAGGCUGACGAACCUCUGUGGAGCAUUGAAGCCGAAAAAGUAUUUAAGUGGGGAGCAGCAGAGAGGCAUGAGUGAUCUCAUAUGAACUCCUGAUGUGUUCAAAGGAAAUCUCAGGGGGCUGAUCCGGUAAUCCGAUGGCCAGGGUUGCCUAUGGUAGGCCAUAAAGACUAACCAGAGGCUUCA